AAUCUAGCAUCACAUGGAACAUUAGAAGCCCAUCAUGAGAAGAAAAGAAACUAGGCCAAUCCCAAUGGCAAGCACGACUAGAAAGCCAAGCGACCAUGAGAACCUAAAAUUUAUGAUUGAAACUGACUCAAAAUGAGUAUGUAAGAUUCAUGAUCAGACUGUAACACUCAAAGGAUCGCCAAUCUUAAUGAUACCGUCCAUGUAAAAUUUAGAAACAAAUCAAUGAAAAAA
Long non-coding RNA from Hibiscus syriacus, 231 nucleotides. RefSeq lists it as uncharacterized. NCBI's taxonomy places the organism in Eukaryota, Viridiplantae, Streptophyta, Magnoliopsida, Malvales, Malvaceae. The transcript has 2 exons. The record is from RefSeq and is a predicted model, not a curated record.